AGAGUUUGAUCCUGGCUCAGGAUGAACGCUAGCUACAGGCUUAACACAUGCAAGUCGAGGGGCAGCAUGGUCUUAGCUUGCUAAGGCUGAUGGCGACCGGCGCACGGGUGAGUAACACGUAUCCAACCUGCCGUCUACUCUUGGACAGCCUUCUGAAAGGAAGAUUAAUACAAGAUGGCAUCAUGAGUCCGCAUGUUCACAUGAUUAAAGGUAUUCCGGUAGACGAUGGGGAUGCGUUCCAUUAGAUAGUAGGCGGGGUAACGGCCCACCUAGUCUUCGAUGGAUAGGGGUUCUGAGAGGAGGUCCCCCANAUUGGAACUGAGACACGGUCCAAACUCCUACGGGAGGCA
RNAcentral lists this ribosomal RNA (350 nucleotides) under uncultured bacterium. RNAcentral's name for it is "bacterial SSU rRNA". It matches the Rfam family "Bacterial small subunit ribosomal RNA", at positions 8 to 350 of the family's 1533-position model. The record is from RNAcentral.